Molecule: ribosomal RNA, 275 nt
Filed under: uncultured bacterium
Lineage: Bacteria
Description: partial 16S ribosomal RNA
Rfam family: Bacterial small subunit ribosomal RNA
Source: RNAcentral
CCUACGGGUGGCUGCAGUGAGGAAUAUUGCACAAUGGGCGCAAGCCUGAUGCAGCGACGCCGCGUGGGUGAUGAAGGCCUUCGGGUCGUAAAGCCCUUUUCGAGAUGACGAGGCAGGACGGUAGUCUCGGAAGAAGUGUCGGCUAACUACGUGCCAGCAGCCGCGGUAAAACGUAGGACACAAGCGUUAUCCGGAGUGACUGGGCGUAAAGGGCGUGUAGGCGGUCUAAUAAGUCUGAUAUGAAAGCUCCUGGCUCAACUGGGAGAGGCUGUCGG